RNAcentral lists this ribosomal RNA (254 nucleotides) under uncultured bacterium. Its description in RNAcentral is "partial 16S ribosomal RNA". It matches the Rfam family "Bacterial small subunit ribosomal RNA", at positions 524 to 776 of the family's 1533-position model. The record is from RNAcentral.
GACGAACCGUGCGAACGUUAUUCGGAAUCACUGGGCUUAAAGCGCGUGUAGGCGGGCCGCCGCGUCGGCUGCUGAAAUCCCCCGGCUCAACCGGGGAACGGGCACCGAUACGGGCGGCCUCGAGGGGGGUAGGGGGGCCUGGAACUUCCGGUGGAGCGGUGAAAUGCGUAGAGAUCCGGAGGAACACCAAAGGCGAAGGCAGUGUCCUGGGGAGUACCUGACGCUCAGGUGCGAAAGCCAGGGGAGCGAACGGG